AAUGCUUGACUCACAUUAAUAAAUUAUCGUGAAAUACUUGAUAAUGAUAUAUUUUAUAGAAGGAUAAUAAUAAUAUUAAGUCAUCCCUAUAAUUCUUAGAUUGUGAAUCAUAAAGUAUAAUAUUAUUAUUUAUUAAAUAGUAUGUUUAUUAUUUUAUUUCUAGGGGCAUCUAACGAACUCACCGAGCAAACCAAUGAAUUUGGUAAGUAUAUUUUAUGUUUAUUAUCACAUUUUUACUUUCCCUUCUCGUGGACCGGCCAGAUGACUAAUUAAAUAUUAUUGUUAACUUCUAUCCUGUAUUGAAGUGAUGUCUAUUCAAACAUUUUUAUUGAAUAGUUGAAUGUGUUGACAUAACACUACUAACGAAUGACGUAUGACGUUUGCAGCUUCACAUUUUUGCUCUAUACCUAUAUUACAAACGUAUAACUUAUGUGAAUGUUUUUCUAAAGAAAACACAUUUUCAUAAUUCUAUAUAACUAGUUUUAUAGAUUCCUUCAGAAUAAUGUUAUCUUUCUAUCUUGUAUUAAUAAUGGUGUCUAAACUAUUCUUUCUUGUCCACAAGCACCUUAAAUUUCAGUUGUACAUGUUCACAUAUCGUUUUGACUUUUUCAGACGUGACGUUUAAUAAAAUUAGCAUAAUAAAUUAAUUAUUAAAGAUUCGAAUAAUAUUUUUUAAAAAUCUGAUACAUUUUUCCCACCUCAGAAUCUGGAUUAAUCUUUAACCUGGUCAAAUAUAUGCUUAAUGCCUAUCAUUAUAUUACAUAUCUAUUUUUCUCUAUUCUAAUCAAUUAAACAUUAUCAUUUGCAGUCAUAAAUACAGGAGGUAUGUGUUAUUUAAUAAUUUUUAAUAUUUAAUAGGUACAUAAUAAUAUUUUGCAUAGAAUUAGUCUUUUGGAUAAAUGUGGUUUUGAUUAUCUGAUUGCUGCAAGCUUUCAUCACCACGACUCAACGAUCUUGUCGUAUCGAUUUUCCGGCCAUCGUUAGACGUCAGUGUAAAGUUUUCACUUUUACGAACCCUGAUGUUAUUUGAUUUAUUAUUUUUUUUUACACUCUACUACACCUUGACAAUAUAAAUCUUGAAACUCGUUUCUGUAUGCGUAGUGUUCUUCAUUUCAAUAUUAGCUGUUUCUUCUUCAAUCUCUGAUUGUUUGAGAUUAUACUCGCGACAUCGGUAGGCGCUUCUUCAGAUUUAUCUAUUCUGCAUUACUCAUUAAGAUAUUAAUGUCUCUCUAGGUUAAGUUUAUCUAUCUAGUAAAUUUGACUUUUUAAAUACAACAACGGUGUAUGCGCAACGCGUUAUCAGGCAUUUUUACUAUGUUAUGAGAAUAAAUUAUAUAAAUCAACAUAAUUAGCUAAAUUAAAAUUUUAAUUUUGUUUUGGAAAACACGCUAAACACUCAAGUUUUUUUUUUUAGUACGUAUUCGGAAAUUGAAUUUACCUAGGAAGUUUAAGACUGGUGAAAUUAUGAAUCACUUACCUACUUCACAUUGAAUGUAUUGACAAUAAUUGUUACUCCGAUUGAUCUUGCAAUACUGGUAUCUCCUUGAUUAUUAUUUUUAAACAGCAAACCAAUGUUAGACACAUGUUAAUUUAAAUGCUGAUGCCGUUGUAAUGGUUACUAGUUAAAUUUUUUUAAAGACAUUUUUAAGAUUUAAUUCCUCUCCUGAAAAAUUUGAUAUUUUUUAAUACCAUCUUUUCGUUCCAAGCUUACGAAAUCUUUUAUUCUCGGGUGACUUAUACGUCUAAUCAAUUAUAUUUAUAUACUUACAUAAAAAAGAAGGUUAUUAAUUGAUAUUUUAUUAUUUUUUG
Molecule: long non-coding RNA, 1809 nt
Filed under: Acyrthosiphon pisum (pea aphid)
Lineage: Eukaryota; Metazoa; Arthropoda; Insecta; Hemiptera; Aphididae
Description: uncharacterized LOC115034994
Source: RNAcentral